UACGGGGGGUGCAAGCGUUGUUCGGAAUCAUUGGGCGUAAAGAGCGUGUAGGCGGCUAGACAAGUCAGAUGUGAAAUCCCUGGGCUUAACCCAGGAAGUGCAUUUGAAACUGUCCUGCUUGAGUAAGGGAGAGGAAAGUGGAAUUCCUGGUGUAGAGGUGAAAUUCGUAGAUAUCAGGAGGAACACCGGUGGCGAAGGCGACUUUCUGGCCCUAUACUGACGCUGAGACGCGAAAGCGUGGGUAGCAAACAGG
This 253-nucleotide ribosomal RNA is filed under the name uncultured bacterium. RNAcentral's name for it is "partial 16S ribosomal RNA". It matches the Rfam family "Bacterial small subunit ribosomal RNA", at positions 524 to 776 of the family's 1533-position model. The record is from RNAcentral.